AAACAUUAAAGUAAAAAUGUUAAAAUAAAAUGCAUAAUAUGUAAAACAAUUAUUAUGUGUAACAUAUUUUAGUACUAUGUAGGUCUACUGUACGUAUAGCUGUAUUAACUACUAUUAUUUCAUACUAAUAUUACUACUACAUUUACUAUUAGUAGUAGCAGUAUGUGUAGGAAAAAUAAUAUUGCACAUUCUUUUUAUUGUACUUUACAAAUCUCAAAGUGCUACCACAGACAAUAACAGUGUAACAAUUAGAAAUAAGUUCUGUAAUAAUUACAAAUACGAUCUUUGGAAUAAAAUGUGGCCUUGAGUUUAUUUUCAUCAAGUAAAUAUCAAGUAAUCUGCGUAGAAUUGACAAUAUGAGCUCUGUUGGGUUGUCUAAUAAUUUGUGUGUGACUUGUGUAUUUUUUCUCAGAUGGAUAUUACAAUUCAAAUAGGGGGGUCUCUGCCAGAUCUAAAACAGUGCACCAAAUGCUGCAGUCAUUUCCUAUGUCCUUUUUGUGAUGCCUCAGUUUUUCAACCAACACGGUUGGCAAAAGUGCAAACUCAUCUGCAGGCACAUUUCAAGAUCGGUCCAGCAUGAAGGCCAUCAUUCAUGCCCUUUGCAAGCUGCAGGGCCUGUCUUGGCAGGAGGCUGAAGAGAUGUUCCUUCAGGGCCCCACUUAUCACUCAAGUGAAGUUGAGGAAUUUGACCAAAUAAUUGCUUGAGAAAUGAAAAAUCUCCCCAACAAGAAUGUAAAGCAUUUAUUUUAUUUGAUGUUGUUUAAUAUGUAAUAUAUACAUUAUUAACCAAUUAUUUUUUUUCACAGUUUUUCUCUGCAUUGU
Molecule: long non-coding RNA, 822 nt
Organism: Megalobrama amblycephala (Wuchang bream)
Lineage: Eukaryota; Metazoa; Chordata; Actinopteri; Cypriniformes; Xenocyprididae
Exons: 3
Source: RefSeq, a predicted model, not a curated record